RNAcentral lists this ribosomal RNA (422 nucleotides) under uncultured soil bacterium. Its description in RNAcentral is "bacterial SSU rRNA". It matches the Rfam family "Bacterial small subunit ribosomal RNA", at positions 160 to 575 of the family's 1533-position model. The record is from RNAcentral.
UGGCUAAUACCGCAUGAGAUCGAGAGAUGAAAGCAGGGGACCCGUAAGGGCCUUGCGCGAGAGGAGCGGCCGAUGCCGGAUUAGCUAGUUGGUAGGGUAAAAGCCUACCAAGGCGACGAUCCGUAGCUGGUUUGAGAGAACGACCAGCCACACUGGGACUGAGACACGGCCCAGACUCCUACGGGAGGCAGCAGUGGGGAAUUUUGGACAAUGGGGGCAACCCUGAUCCAGCCAUGCCGCGUGAGUGAAGAAGGCCUUCGGGUUGUAAAGCUCUUUCGGCCGGAACGAAAUCGCACGGGUGAAUAUCCCGUGUGGAUGACGGUACCGGAAUAAGAAGCACCGGCUAACUACGUGCCAGCAGCCGCGGUAAUACGUAGGGUGCGAGCGUUAAUCGGAAUUACUGGGCGUAAAGUGUGCGCAGG